This 253-nucleotide ribosomal RNA is filed under the name uncultured bacterium. RNAcentral's name for it is "partial 16S ribosomal RNA". It matches the Rfam family "Bacterial small subunit ribosomal RNA", at positions 524 to 776 of the family's 1533-position model. The record is from RNAcentral.
UACGGGGGGGGCAAGCGUUGUUCGGAAUUACUGGGCGUAAAGGGCUCGUAGGUGGCCAACUAAGUCAGACGUGAAAUCCCUCGGCUUAACCGGGGAACUGCGUCUGAUACUGGAUGGCUUGAGUUCGGGAGAGGGAUGCGGAAUUCCAGGUGUAGCGGUGGAAUGCGCAGAUAUCAGGAGGAACACCAAUGGCGAAGGCAGCUCGCUGGGACGGUACUGACGCUGAGGCGCGAAAGCGUGGGGAGCAAACAGG